Molecule: long non-coding RNA, 875 nt
Organism: Suricata suricatta (meerkat)
Lineage: Eukaryota; Metazoa; Chordata; Mammalia; Carnivora; Herpestidae
Exons: 4
Source: RefSeq, a predicted model, not a curated record
CCAAGGGUCAGGGGACAUCCUUAGGGGCCUAGGAAGACACCCCAGAUGGCCUAGGGAGCUGCUCUGAAUAUGGUUAGGAGAAGGGGUCAGUGCAGGAGAGAGAGCAUGCGCCUACUUCGUUUGAUCAGGAGUUUCAGUACAGAAAAAGUUUUAUGGCAACAAAUGGAAAGAACAAAGCUUUUCCUUAAAUAGUUUUUCUCGGCUUGAGGGCUGGUAUGAACGAACUCAUUCCAGGUGAGCUAAGCCCUGAAAGGUACAAGAACAGAAGAUCCGAGAUGCGUCCGAUGCCAGAGGCGGACACAGCCCAGUGUGCGUCUCUGCAGCGUCUGCUGGCCCAGCAGAGGGUCCGCCCUGAGAGCGAGGAACAGAAAGGAGCAGAUGGCAGCAAUCGGCCACAGGGCCUGGGAAGACAGAGGAACAAGAGAAUCUGGAGGUCAGAGCAGCUCGGUUCCUGCAUCUGACAGGCAGCGCCACGAGGAAUCCGUGUCACCUCAAGGUUGGCCGGCCUCUCCCCUAGCAGAGGGGACACAGGAUUCCAACCCAGCAGGAGAGAACUGCAGCCUGCCACACACCUGCCAGAGCAGAGAAAUGCAGAGACCUUCAGGCACACACAUCAGGAGAGAGGGUGCUCGGAUAUAAGCGAGAGGAAAUAUGGCCACAGCUGCAUCUUCUGCCGGGCCCUUGACCUGCUCGGGCACCUGUGUGUGCCACCAGCCAGCUCCCCCACUUUCCUUCCAGAAGGAGACUUGGAAGCUUGGGGCCCAAGAAGCCACCCUCCCUUCUAGCUGUCGCCCAUGUGGCUGUGCUCUGUAAUCCUAAGAGCAUACUGAAAUGCAGGUGGAAUACAAGAUGCUACAGGUAAUAAAGUUUAUCAG